This 253-nucleotide ribosomal RNA is filed under the name uncultured bacterium. RNAcentral's name for it is "partial 16S ribosomal RNA". It matches the Rfam family "Bacterial small subunit ribosomal RNA", at positions 524 to 776 of the family's 1533-position model. The record is from RNAcentral.
UACGUAGGGGGCUAGCGUUGUCCGGAAUCAUUGGGCGUAAAGCGCGCGUAGGCGGCCCGGUAAGUCCGCUGUAAAAGUCAAAGGCUCAACCUUUGAAUGUCAGUGGAUACUGCCGGGCUAGAGUCCGGAAGAGGCGAGUGGAAUUCCUGGUGUAGCGGUGGAAUGCGCAGAUAUCAGGAGGAACACCGAUAGCGAAGGCAGCUCGCUGGGACGGUACUGACGCUGAGGUGCGAAAGCGUGGGGAGCGAACAGG